This 772-nucleotide small RNA is filed under the name Pongo abelii (Sumatran orangutan). RNAcentral's name for it is "retained intron". The record is from RNAcentral. Lineage: Eukaryota; Metazoa; Chordata; Mammalia; Primates; Hominidae.
CCUUGCGCGUGGAUCCGAGCGACCAUGGUGGCCCGGGUGUGGUCGCUGAUGAGGUUCCUCAUCAAGGGAAGUGUGGCUGGGGGCGCCGUCUACCUGGUGUACGACCAGGAGCUGCUGGGGCCCAGCGACAAGAGCCAGGCAGCCCUACAGAAGGCUGGGGAGGUGGUGCCCCCCGCCAUGUACCAGUUCAGCCAGUACGUGUGUCAGCAGACAGGCCUGCAGAUACCCCAGGUACUACGAGCUGGGAGCGAGGCCAGGGCUUGGCAGGUGGUCAGCUCUGAGGGGUCCCUCCAGCCCUGCACGAUGUUGUCCUCCAUAUUGAUGCUGGCCUGAUUCUCCGGCCUGUCCUCCUCCCUCCGCCUCUGGGGAUGGGCUGCUGAGCCUUUUCACCAGUUCUUUCUGCCCAUCUCUUUUCCCAGCUCCCAGCCCCUCCAAAGAUUUACUUUCCCAUCCGUGACUCUUGGAAUGCAGGUAAGGCACCCAGUUUCUUUGCUUGGAGGGAGACACCCCACUCUAGCCCCUCUCCCCACUUCCUGGCCAUUCCUUUCUGUCCAUACCCCUUCCUGCCCGACACGUGUCUCUUAGGGAUCUAAAAGGGAAAGGAGGCGGAGCACAGUGGCUCACGCCUGUAAUCCCAGCACUUUGGGAGGCUGAGGUGGGCGGAUCAUCUGAAGUCAGGAGUUCCAGACCAGCCUGGGCAACAUGGUGAAACCCCAUCUCUACUAAAAAUACAAAAAUUAACCGUGCGUGGUGGUGCGCGCCUGUAAUCCCA